CCUACGGGAGGCAGCAGUGGGGAAUAUUGGGCAAUGGAGGCAACUCUGACCCAGCAACGCCGCGUGAAUGAUGAAGGUCUUCGGAUUGUAAAGCUCUAUCAGCAGGGCAGAAGCAAGAGGGUAUCUGACUAAGAAGCCCCGGCUAACUACGGGCCAGCAGCCGCGGUAAUACGUAGGGGGCAAGCGUUAUCCGGAUUUAGUGGGUGUAAAGGGAGCGUAGACGGUGUGGCAAGUCUGAAGUGAAAGCCCAGGGCUUAACCCUGGGACUGCUUUGAAAACUGUUAGACUAGAGUGCUGGAGAGGUAAGUGGAAUUCCUAGUGUAGCGGUGGAAUGCGUAGAUAUUAGGAGGAACACCAGUGGCGAAGGCGACUUACUGGACAGUAACUGACGUUGAGGCUCGAAAGCGUGGGGAGCAAACAGGAUUAGAUACCCUGGUAGUC
Molecule: ribosomal RNA, 441 nt
Filed under: uncultured bacterium
Lineage: Bacteria
Description: partial 16S ribosomal RNA
Rfam family: Bacterial small subunit ribosomal RNA
Source: RNAcentral